Molecule: ribosomal RNA, 305 nt
Filed under: uncultured bacterium
Lineage: Bacteria
Description: partial 16S ribosomal RNA
Rfam family: Bacterial small subunit ribosomal RNA
Source: RNAcentral
ACAGCAGCCGCCGCGGGAAUACGGAGGGUGCAAGCGUUAAUCGGAAUUACUGGGCGUAAAGCGCACGCAGGCGGUCUGACAAGUCAGAUGUGAAAUCCCCGGGCUUAACCUGGGAACUGCAUUUGAAACUGUCAGGCUGGAGUCUUGUAGAGGGGGGUGGAAUUCCAGGUGUAGCGGUGAAAUGCGUAGAGAUCUGGAGGAAUACCGGUGGCGAAGGCGGCCCCCUGGACAAAGACUGACGCUCAGGUGCGAAAGCGUGGGGAGCAAACAGGAUUAGAUACCCCUGUAGUCCCUGUCUCUUAUAU